AUUGAACGCUGGCGGCAGGCCUAACACAUGCAAGUCGAGCGGAUGAAGGGAGCUUGCUCCUGGAUUCAGCGGCGGACGGGUGAGUAAUGCCUAGGAAUCUGCCUGGUAGUGGGGGAUAACGUCCGGAAACGGGCGCUAAUACCGCAUACGUCCUGAGGGAGAAAGUGGGGGAUCUUCGGACCUCACGCUAUCAGAUGAGCCUAGGUCGGAUUAGCUAGUUGGUGGGGUAAAGGCCUACCAAGGCGACGAUCCGUAACUGGUCUGAGAGGAUGAUCAGUCACACUGGAACUGGGACACGGUCCAGACUCCUAAGGGAGGCAGCAGUGGGGAAUAUUGGACAAUGGGCGAAAGCCUGAUCCAGCCAUGCCGCGUGUGUGAAGAAGGUCUUCGGAUUGUAAAGCACUUUAAGUUGGGAGGAAGGGCAGUAAGUUAAUACCUUGCUGUUUUGACGUUACCAACAGAAGAAGCACCGGCUAACUUCGUG
This 484-nucleotide ribosomal RNA is filed under the name uncultured bacterium. RNAcentral's name for it is "partial 16S ribosomal RNA". It matches the Rfam family "Bacterial small subunit ribosomal RNA", at positions 30 to 507 of the family's 1533-position model. The record is from RNAcentral.